RNAcentral lists this ribosomal RNA (467 nucleotides) under Psathyropus formosa. RNAcentral describes it as "partial 16S rRNA". It matches the Rfam family "Bacterial large subunit ribosomal RNA", at positions 1921 to 2625 of the family's 2925-position model. The record is from RNAcentral. Lineage: Eukaryota; Metazoa; Arthropoda; Arachnida; Opiliones; Sclerosomatidae.
GAUUAAAGGGCCGCAGUAGCCUGACUGUGCUAAGGUAGCAUAAUCAUUAGGUUUUUAAUUGGGAUCUAGUAUGAAUGAGUGAAUGGAGAAGAGCUGUCUUAGAGGUUAGAUUUGAAUUUAAAAUUUUAGUAAUAAUGCUAGAAUAAUUCUGUGGGACGAUAAGACCCUAUAAAGCUUUAUUUGUAUAUUUUUUGGUACUUUGACUAAUUUGAGAUUGACACAAAUUUAACUGGGGCGGUUGAUGAAAUUACAUGUUAUUAGAGUAAGAAAAAUAGGGAUCCAUCUAUGGUGAUAAUUAGAUUAAGUUACUUUAGGGAUAACAGCAUAAUAUAUCUAUGGAGUUCUAAUCGAAGGAUAUGAUUGUGACCUCGAUGUUGAAUUAAUUUUAUUGUACGGUGAAGAAGUUGUAUGAGUUAGUCUGUUCGACUAUUAAAUAAUUACGUGAUUUGAGUUCAAACCGGUUUGAG